Molecule: long non-coding RNA, 1101 nt
Filed under: Salmo salar (Atlantic salmon)
Lineage: Eukaryota; Metazoa; Chordata; Actinopteri; Salmoniformes; Salmonidae
Description: lncRNA (ENSSSAG00000105770.1)
Source: RNAcentral
UCAGUUGUCUGUGCCAGUGUUGUCCACAUCGUCACUGACUCAAUGGGUGUAGAGAACUUCUUCUUCACCAAAAUAAAAACAACGAGACAGUGGGUCUUUCUUCACUUCCUCUUGCCACCUCAUUCUCAAAACAUUACUAGGUACGAAGGACAGUAUUGGAGGAGACAACGCUUCCAGAGAGAGGAGAAAGAGCUUCCUUAUCGAGAGGGAGGUGGGAGAACGCUGGGCUUGAGGAUACAAGGCACCAAGGAAAGAUCAAGAAAAAGCCCUUAUGUGAAUAUGAAUCAGCGUGAGUUAAAUUUGAAUAAAUGCCAUUCUGUGGGUGUUAUUAAUUUUAUGAAGUGAUAAGAGCAUAGUUCUCUGCCAAGUUAGUAGAUUUCUUCAACUAACUGAUUAAACAGGUUGUUCCAGAAAUCAAAUCGUUGUGUGAGGUCAUCCGUUGUGUAGGGUGUGUGUGUGUGUGUGUGUGUGUGUGUGUGUUUUACUAUCCUUGUGGGGUCCAGAAGUCCAGAAGUCCUCACAAGGAUAGUAAAACAAGAAAAAAAAGGCUAUUUUAGCCUUAGGGGUUAGGAUUAGAAUUAGGAUUAGGGUUAGGAUUAGGAUUAGGGUUGAAUUGGGAUUAGGAUUAGGGUUAGAAUUAGGAUUAGGGUUAGAAUUAGGAUUAGGGUUAGAAUUAGGUUUAGGGUUGAAUUAGAAUUAGUAUUAGGUUUAGAAUUAGGAUUAGUUUAGGGUGAAAUGGACACUUUACAUGAGCAAAGGGAUGGAAAGGGAGUGUAUCACAUGCUUAUACCCCUCCAGCCCUUACCGCCUGGCCCUGGUCGUUUAAAAUGGGAAGCUAGCUGAUAAGGCUGUUACCGACUGUUCCGGCCCUUACCACCUGGUUCAUUCUGAAUGGGAAGCUAGCUGUUACCGACUGUUCUGGCCCUUACCACCUGGUUCAUUCUGAAUGGGAAGCUAGCUUUUACCGACUGUUCUGGCCCUUACCACCUGGUUCAUUCUGAAUGGGAAGCUAGCUGUUACCGACUGUUCUGGCCCUUACCACCUGGUUCAUUCUGAAUGGGAAGCUAGCUGUUACCGACUGUUCUGGCCCUUACCACCUGG